RNAcentral lists this ribosomal RNA (253 nucleotides) under uncultured bacterium. RNAcentral describes it as "partial 16S ribosomal RNA". It matches the Rfam family "Bacterial small subunit ribosomal RNA", at positions 524 to 776 of the family's 1533-position model. The record is from RNAcentral.
UACGUAGGGGGCUAGCGUUGUCCGGAAUCAUUGGGCGUAAAGAGCGCGUAGGCGGCCAGAUAAGUCCGGUGUGAAAGUCACAGGCUCAACCUGUGAAUGCCGCUGGAAACUGUCUGGCUAGAGUCCGGAAGGGGCGAGUGGAAUUCCUGGUGUAGCGGUGGAAUGCGCAGAUAUCAGGAGGAACACCAAUGGCGAAGGCAGCACUCUGGUACGUGAUUGACGCUGAGACGCGAAAGCGUGGGGAGCGAACAGG